Molecule: unclassified non-coding RNA, 253 nt
Filed under: fungal sp.
Lineage: Eukaryota; Fungi
Description: partial internal transcribed spacer region
Rfam family: Eukaryotic small subunit ribosomal RNA (bases 1-46)
Source: RNAcentral
AAGUCGUAACAAGGUUUCCGUAGGUGAACCUGCGGAAGGAUCAUUGACAAAUCUAAACAAACACGCACCUGUGAAUAGCUGGCGUCAGUGUCACCCUUUAGCUUAGCUUAGCUAGGGUGGUGCUGAUUAUUAGUUAGUGGGCGAGAGCGAGAGAGAGUAACCACUCUCCCCCCCUCCCCACACACAUUUACACAAUUGACUUACAACACAAACAAACAACACACAACUUUUAGCAAUGGAUCUCUUGGCUUCU